AUGAACGCUGGCGGCGUGCCUAAUACAUGCAAGUCGCGCGCACAGACGAGGAGCUUGCUCCUCUGACGUUAGCGGCGGACGGGUGAGUAACACGUGGAUAACCUACCUAUAAGACUGGGAUAACUUCGGGAAACCGGAGCUAAUACCGGAUAAUAUAUUGAACCGCAUGGUUCAAUAGUGAAAGACGGUUUUGCUGUCACUUAUAGAUGGAUCCGCGCCGCAUUAGCUAGUUGGUAAGGUAACGGCUUACCAAGGCAACGAUGCGUAGCCGACCUGAGAGGGUGAUCGGCCACACUGGAACUGAGACACGGUCCAGACUCCUACGGGAGGCAGCAGUAGGGAAUCUUCCGCAAUGGGCGUAAGCUUGACGGAGCAACGCCGCGUGAGUGAUGAAGGUCUUCGGAUCGUAAAACUCUGUUAUUAGGGAAGAACAAAUGUGUAAGUAACUAUGCACGUCUUGACGGUACCUAAUCAGAAAGCCACGGCUAACUACGUG
RNAcentral lists this ribosomal RNA (496 nucleotides) under uncultured bacterium. RNAcentral's name for it is "partial 16S ribosomal RNA". It matches the Rfam family "Bacterial small subunit ribosomal RNA", at positions 29 to 507 of the family's 1533-position model. The record is from RNAcentral.